AGCUGGGUUCCCUCCCUGUUGGUUGUUUGGACUGAGGCGGCCCAGCACUGGAGCCUAUGCUGCUCUUUGGUGGGGCUAAUGGUGGACUCCAGGAAGGCUCACACCAAGGAGUACUUCCCAGAACUUCUGCUCACAGUGUCCUCGUCCUCAUGGUGAGCCACAGCCACCCCCCGCCUGUGCAGGAGACCCUCCCACACUAGCAGUGGCACUAUGUUUUAUCUCGAGUGAGGAAGAGCCAUGGUAAUCAGUCUCACUGUGACUACUGUCACGGAUUCUACCCUGAGGCGCUGUGAAGCAAUAAAACUCUUGCAUUGGAAGCGGAUGCCUUUAUGGUUCUUGUGAAAGAUUUAAGGAACAGUUCAGAAUGGAAGACUAAGGACUUUGCACAUCGUGACCCUAAAAGAGGAGGAAAGAUUUUUCAGCUCAUCUCUGUUGGUGGGUGGACUACUUCUUUGAGUGGACUAUCUAUGCCAUCUAAGAAAAGGGAAAAAACCUACAGCUACUAUUUUGGCGUGCUGCCGGGUGCAAUUGCACUGUAAGUGAUACAGCCGUCACUUGGAGAGUGCUUUGGAACUUUAAAGGCAAGAGAAACCUUUUCUUCCGUGGAAUGUUCCUUUUAACUUGCUUUCUGUUCAACCUGAUAAAGCUUUGAAUAUGCUUGUUUGAGAGUUCCUUUCAUAAUUUGACUUUUCUUUUCCCACAUCGAACAAUGCAAAACUGAAUUGUCAAGCUUGUUUAUAAAGUGAGGUACCAUCUUGGAAAUCAUGGUGUGUUUUCAAAUCACCAUGUAAUAUUGAUAUUUUUAAUUACUGUCAACCAUAAACCCCUUUAUCAGCAUAAACAAUUGGCAGCAUAAACCAAAGAUGUAAGAAAAAAUUAGUUCUAUCCAUUAACUUAACGUUUGUUUAAUAUCAAGUUUGGUGGUCAGCUGGGACAUGAUUACCUGAUUUUAGUGACUGAACACCUUGGCCUAUAUAUAGGAUAUAAUCUCUAUACCCUGACACCAUGCAAAAGAAACUGAUACAUCCUGAGUGCCUAGCUCAGGUAUGAUAUAUGGUAUCUUUCAUGCUUUAACCUCAUAAUAUAGCCUAAGAUAUAUGGUUAUUAUAAUUUCUAUUAUAUAUGAAUACAUAUAUUUAUAUUACUUCAUAUAAUUUCUAUUACAUAUGUAGAAACUGAGGAUGAGAGAAGUAACUUGGCCAGAAUUAACCAAGUAGUAUGUGGCAUAGGUGAUAUAUGAACCAGGUCAAUCUGUCUGUAAGGCCCAGGUUUUUCUGCCUUAAUUCAGUCUAACUUGAUUUUAGCCUCCUCUGGUUGGAAUGAAAGUUGCUCCUCGGUUUCCUAGUUAGUUUCUUCAUAUUUCAUGCCUAUCAUGAAUAGCAAUUUGAAACAGCCUGAACUGCUUGAAGAAAGGCAAAGUUUAAACUGUCCAUGGUGUCACUGACUUGAGACCCAGAGACUGUUUUCUUCUCUAAACUUUCUUGAGAGCAUCUUCUGUUACAGAGAAACUUUAUUUGGGAUGGUAGAAAGAUGUGUUAGUCUUUUCCUGUAUUAUUUCUGACUUUGGUAAUAUGUUAAGAAAGACCUUUCUCACUGUAAAAUCUAAAAAUAUACUUCUGUGUUAUUAUUAUUAUUUAGUUUUUUAACUGUUUCUUAAAAAUCUAAAUCAUUGGUCUGUCCAGAAUUUAUUUUUGUAUGGUAUAUGGUAGGAACCUAACUUAAUUCUUAGGUCCUAUUUUCUCCUCAAAUUCUGGUCCUUUUUGCCUCUUUGUGUUCCUUAAAUUAUU
This is a long non-coding RNA of Orcinus orca (killer whale), 1787 nucleotides long. RefSeq lists it as uncharacterized. NCBI's taxonomy places the organism in Eukaryota, Metazoa, Chordata, Mammalia, Artiodactyla, Delphinidae. The record is from RefSeq and is a predicted model, not a curated record. The transcript has 5 exons.